AACGCUGGCGGCGUGCCUAAUACAUGCAAGUCGAGCGAACGGACGAGAAGCUUGCUUUUCUGAUGUUAGCGGCGGACGGGUGAGUAACACGUGGAUAACCUACCUAUAAGACUGGGAUAACUUCGGGAAACCGGAGCUAAUACCGGAUAAUAUUUUGAACCGCAUGGUUCAAAAGUGAAAGACGGUCUUGCUGUCACUUAUAGAUGGAUCCGCGCUGCAUUAGCUAGUUGGUAAGGUAACGGCUUACCAAGGCAACGAUGCAUAGCCGACCUGAGAGGGUGAUCGGCCACACUGGAACUGAGACACGGUCCAGACUCCUACGGGAGGCAGCAGUAGGGAAUCUUCCGCAGUGGGCGAAAGCCUGACGGAGCAACGCCGCGUGAGUGAUGAAGGUCUUCGGAUCGUAAAACUCUGUUAUUAGGGAAGAACAUAUGUGUAAGUAACUGUGCACAUCUUGACGGUACCUAACCAGAAAGCCACGGCUAACUACGUG
This 493-nucleotide ribosomal RNA is filed under the name uncultured bacterium. RNAcentral's name for it is "partial 16S ribosomal RNA". It matches the Rfam family "Bacterial small subunit ribosomal RNA", at positions 32 to 507 of the family's 1533-position model. The record is from RNAcentral.